This 89-nucleotide small RNA is filed under the name Salmonella enterica subsp. diarizonae. RNAcentral's name for it is "partial RtT sRNA". It matches the Rfam family "RtT RNA", at positions 42 to 130 of the family's 130-position model. Rfam says of the family: This family represents a bacterial cis-regulatory element known as RtT RNA. The exact function of RtT is unknown although it is thought that it may be involved in changing the cellular response in relation to amino acid starvation. The record is from RNAcentral. Lineage: Bacteria; Pseudomonadati; Pseudomonadota; Gammaproteobacteria; Enterobacterales; Enterobacteriaceae.
UUCGACUCGAGCGAAGCGAGAGAACGUUGCAUCAGCAACGGCCCGCAGGGCGAGCCACGCAGUGGCGAGUCAUCCUCUAUCACCGACCA